AUGUCGUCUCCUACAGGCACUCAUUACAUAAAUCUAACUACUAGUUGUCUUCCAUGCAUGUCAGAUAUAAUUGCACACACUGAUAUAUCCACAAGAACCUCACGGAGCAAUGUAAAGGCCAAUAAACUUGAUGUCAAUGAUAUCCAAUAUGAUGGAACAUGUAAAGGUAGUUCUUUAGAAGACUUGCAGAAAGAUGAUGAAUCCUCUUCACCCCACAAGGUCCUUGCUCUAACUUGGCCCGUGAUAUGGGUACAACAUGUGCAUAUAAUGUCCUGGAGUGUAUCAACUCUGUUGCAAUGCCAUGUGCUUAGCAUGCUGAUCAUGCAUGUAAAUAUGUCAUGCCUUCCUGUUUUUCAGUACCUAUUCCAGUCAUGA
This 375-nucleotide ribosomal RNA is filed under the name Triticum aestivum (bread wheat). Its description in RNAcentral is "partial small subunit ribosomal RNA". The record is from RNAcentral. Lineage: Eukaryota; Viridiplantae; Streptophyta; Magnoliopsida; Poales; Poaceae.